This 102-nucleotide Y RNA is filed under the name Prolemur simus (greater bamboo lemur). RNAcentral's name for it is "Y RNA (ENSPSMG00000008632.1)". It matches the Rfam family "Y RNA". From Rfam's summary of the family: Y RNAs are components of the Ro ribonucleoprotein particle (Ro RNP), in association with Ro60 and La proteins. Lineage: Eukaryota; Metazoa; Chordata; Mammalia; Primates; Lemuridae. The record is from Rfam by way of RNAcentral.
GCCUGGUCCAAGUGCAGUGGCGUUUAUGACUAAUUGAUCGCAACCGGUUAUAGAUUCCUUUGUUCCUUCUCCACUCCCACUGCUUCACUAGACUAGCCUUAA